GACGAACGCUGGCGGCGUGCCUAAUACAUGCAAGUCGAGCGGAAUGAUGAAGAAGCUUGCUUCUUCUGAUUUUAGCGGCGGACGGGUGAGUAACACGUGGGCAACCUACCUUGUAGAUUGGGAUAACUCCGGGAAACCGGGACUAAUACCGAAUAAUCCAUUUUGCUUCAUGGCGAGAUGUUGAAAGACGGUUUCGGCUGUCACUACAAGAUGGGCCCGCGGCGCAUUAGCUAGUUGGUAGGGUAAUGGCCUACCAAGGCGACGAUGCGUAGCCGACCUGAGAGGGUGAUCGGCCACACUGGGACUGAGACACGGCCCAGACUCCUACGGGAGGCAGCAGUAGGGAAUCUUCCACAAUGGACGAAAGUCUGAUGGAGCAACGCCGCGUGAGUGAAGAAGGUUUUCGGAUCGUAAAACUCUGUUGUAAGGGAAGAACACGUACGAGAGUAACUGCUCGUACCUUGACGGUACCUUAUUAGAAAGCCACGGCUAACUACGUG
Molecule: ribosomal RNA, 500 nt
Filed under: uncultured bacterium
Lineage: Bacteria
Description: bacterial SSU rRNA
Rfam family: Bacterial small subunit ribosomal RNA
Source: RNAcentral